CCCUUAGACGUUCUGGGCCGCACGCGCGCUACACUGACCAGUGCAACAAGCAUCCGUCCUUGGCCGACAGGCUCGGGCAAUCUUUGAACGCUGGUCGUGAUGGGGAUAGAUUAUUGCAAUUAUUAAUCUUCAACGAGGAAUGCCUAGUAAGCGCAAGUCAUCAGCUUGCGUUGAUUACGUCCCUGCCCUUUGUACACACCGCCCGUCGCUCCUACCGAUUGAAUGGUCCGGUGAAGCGUUCGGACCGUGGCCUUUGGACGGUUCGCCGUCUGUUGGCUGCGGGAAGUUCGUUAAACCUUAUCAUUUAGAGGAAGGAGAANUCGUAACA
Molecule: ribosomal RNA, 328 nt
Filed under: uncultured eukaryote
Lineage: Eukaryota
Description: partial 18S ribosomal RNA
Rfam family: Eukaryotic small subunit ribosomal RNA
Source: RNAcentral